This 513-nucleotide ribosomal RNA is filed under the name uncultured bacterium. Its description in RNAcentral is "partial 16S ribosomal RNA". It matches the Rfam family "Bacterial small subunit ribosomal RNA", at positions 28 to 523 of the family's 1533-position model. The record is from RNAcentral.
GAUGAACGCUGGCGGCGUGCCUAAUACAUGCAAGUCGAACGCGCAGCGAAAGGUGCUUGCACCUUUCAAGCGAGUGGCGAACGGGUGAGUAACACGUGGAUAACCUGCCUCAAGGCUGGGGAUAACAUUUGGAAACAGAUGCUAAUACCGAAUAAAACUUAGUAUCGCAUGAUACAAAGUUAAAAGGCGCUACGGCGUCACCUAGAGAUGGAGCCGCGGUGCAUUAGUUAGUUGGUGGGGUAAAGGCUUACCAAGACGAUGAUGCAUAGCCGAGUUGAGAGACUGAUCGGCCACAUUGGGACUGAGACACGGCCCAAACUCCUACGGGAGGCUGCAGUAGGGAAUCUUCCACAAUGGGCGCAAGCCUGAUGGAGCAACGCCACGUGUGUGAUGAAGGCUUUCGGGUCGUAAAGCACUGUUGUAUGGGAAGAAAUGCUAAAAUAGGGAAUGAUUUUAGUUUGACGGUACCAUACCAGAAAGGGACGGCUAAAUACGUGCCAGCAGCCGCCGUAA